CACAACGUGGAGGGAGAGAGAGGAGCAGGAGCGUCCCUCUCCGCUCUAAACCGCCCAAGUCUCCAAAGCCGCCUCGGCGUCCGCCGCGCACCAGGGAAGGCGGAGCGCAGCUUCCCGCCCGCGGCCCGACCCCCGACACCGUCAUCAGGAAGCACCACCGACUCCCAGUAACGCCGUACAGCUCAGGAAUGCGAUCUGCAGCAGGACCGUUAAAGCACAUCCCUGGAGGAGGGAGAAAAGUCUGACGAUAAAUUGGGGAACUUCAGAACCUUAGAAAGUAAUCGCAAGGAUCAAGGGGUUCAACCUUGUUUUUAAAGCAGAAACUGAGCAGAACCGGUGAUGGGAGAGAAGCUGGUCUAGAACCGAGACCGCCCGCCCCGUUCCUGACAGUGUGCAGGUACCUCAAUUUCAUGUUCCCCGAGCCUCCAAUUUCUGCAAUUAUUUCCAUAGUUCCACUAAACGCGGGAAGCAGCCACUUGCAGAGGAAAGAACCCAGAGUCCAUUCGGGAGACCCGAGACGUGCAGGCUCCGUGACCGUGGACUCCUUAGGAACCUCAGACCAACUCACCGCCCUGGGGUCCCUGGCCAGGGGCCAUGAGCCUUCUGGAACCCUCUCGGGUCCCCAGCCUGAUCAGAACACCCUCAGAACACAUCAGGUCUCCACACGAGCUCUGGUUAUAGCAGCCUGGAAGGUCUCCCAUCAUCGGGCUGGAGGACUGCAGUGGCAUCGACCGCCUGCGUCUCGUGGCCCUGGGCCCCCCCUCCUCGGGAAGGGAGCCGCGCCGACGGUCUUGUCAAAACAGACUCCGAUGUUCCUGCGCCCACUGGGCCGCUGGCUUGUGGUUGGUGGUGUUUCUGCGAGGCAACUCUUUGCCCUGCGUGUCCUCUGAAACCUGUCCUGGCAAAAAGUCCUGUUCCAGAGUCAGCACCUGCUUCUCCCGAGAAGUCGCACAGGGUUGAAAGGUGGGCCCUCACAUCCUACCCCAGGGCGGUCCCUUGGUUUAGGGACCAGAAGCUGAGUCCCUGAGGGCAGUGACUCCAGCCUGCAGUGGCCUUGGAGGACAGAGCCUAGCAGGCCAGCAGGGUCCUUGCUUCAUGCCCUGGCCUUGCCCUCCUCAGCCCCCGAGGCAGGGUGAGGUUGCCUGCAGGUGAAGGGAGCCGGCAGGGCUGUGUGUGAAGGUUGUUAGAAGUUUCUCAUUUCUUUGGGGCCUUUGCAUUUUCAGGAUAGCCACUCCGGCAGCAGGGAGCCAGGUGCAGGGGCCAGGCCAGCAGGACUGGAGGUGGCUGUCCCUCCAGGUCGUGACCACAGUGGCACAGGGAUGGCUCUUCCUUUGGGGUCUGUGCUCUCUCUUGAUUUUUUUUUUUCUUUUCAAAGAGUUUGUUUUGCAGAAUCUGUGUGGAAGGCUCUGCGGCCAUCCACGAUGGCAGAGCCAUGCUGUGCAAGGGAUGUGCUGAAAUGCCUGUCGUCUGUUCAUUACUUUUCUUUGUUUUUAACUUUUUAGGGCGGCGCCUGCAGCAUAUGGAGGCUCCCAGGCUAGGGGUGGAAUCAGAGCUGUGGCUGCCGGCCUGCACCACAGCCACAGCAACGCUGAGUGAGGCCAGGGAUUGAACCCGUGUCCUCUUGGAUACUAGUCAGGUUCAUUUUGGCUGAGCCACGACAGGAACUGCCAUCCUUUCAUUUCUGCUUUGCUGUCCUUCCUGGGAGUGUCUGAGGGGCCCCCGAUGGGGAAGCGGCAGGCAGCGUGGGGCAGGUCCUGACUUGGGUCUUGGGGGUGAGGGGAGCUGCCUUGUGGGGUGGAGGGAGCACAGCCCCCCUCCCUGGCGGGGGAGGCUCUUUCCCCCCAGGUUGGGCGUCUCUUGUGGAGGAUCACGUCAGCCACUUCAUGGCUCUUAUUUUUGAACCCGAUAUAGAAAAGAAGGAAAAACA
Molecule: long non-coding RNA, 1927 nt
Filed under: Sus scrofa (pig)
Lineage: Eukaryota; Metazoa; Chordata; Mammalia; Artiodactyla; Suidae
Description: lncRNA (ENSSSCG00035073621.1)
Source: RNAcentral